RNAcentral lists this ribosomal RNA (253 nucleotides) under uncultured bacterium. RNAcentral's name for it is "partial 16S ribosomal RNA". It matches the Rfam family "Bacterial small subunit ribosomal RNA", at positions 524 to 776 of the family's 1533-position model. The record is from RNAcentral.
UACGGAGGGAGCUAGCGUUGUUCGGAAUUACUGGGCGUAAAGCGCGCGUAGGCGGCUUUGUAAGUUAGAGGUGAAAGCCCGGGGCUCAACCCCGGAACAGCCUUUAAGACUGCAUCGCUAGAAUCCGGGAGAGGUGAGUGGAACUCCGAGUGUAGAGGUGAAAUUCGUAGAUAUUCGGAAGAACACCAGUGGCGAAGGCGGCUCACUGGACCGGUAUUGACGCUGAGGUGCGAAAGCGUGGGGAGCAAACAGG